CCAAAUCCCAGGGCAUUAGUGCCCUGGGAGCGCGUGGAGGACACGGAGGACACCUGUCCCGAGGGGACCCUUUCCUGGCCUGGCAGGCGUUUCACACUCCGCCCGGCGCCAGGGAACACGCACACGAGCCAAGUGCGGGCAGACUGCGCAGAUGCUAUAAAAGAUUCCCAGUAGAGCUCCUUAAAGCUUUCCUGACUGAUCUUCGACUUCAAGGUUACGGCCAAGCAAAUUGCGCCGGGAGCUGAUGUGUUCGAACACUGACAGCUCACCAGAAUCAAACCGGACAGACCUUGGGCACACCUCUUCCACGGGCCGAGAGAUGCCGCGGGCCCUGCGCUCAGAGUCUGAACCCUAAAUGCACUCCUGGGACCCCCCGCGGUGGUCGGAGGCCAGGGAUGGAAAGUGAGGGGCAGCAGAGACGGGUUUCCCCUUGGCCUCCAACGAUUCAAGCUCAGAUGGAAGGGCAAAUCAGCAUUAGAUGAAAAGUGUGAGAUUCUGCUUGUAUGUCUGGAAAGGUCAUUACCAGAGAGGAUGCAGGGCCUGGACCCUCUAGCGCCGGUCUCUGUCUGUGGGCUCCUGGUGUGUUACGUAGAUUCUUGCCUCCUUCCCCCCCUUCACAUCCAUCCCCUGGGACCCGGGCCGCUCAGACCUGCUGGCUCUGCUGAGAAAGCAGACCUGGGAGCGGGUCCUCGGAUGGCGCGCUGGGAGAACCCCCUUCUCCCUUCCACGCCAGGUUUCGAUGGAGAGGUGUCAGCAGUUCCGGAAAACCCCUGCCCCGGGGGACUUCAGACGAGAACAGAAACACGCAGGGACUUUGGACGACGGGACCCGCUGAAGUGGGGCAAACGACUGAGUCAGACACACGCAGCCCACGACUAAGGUUUCUCCACGUCUUAAAGAAACGUGGCCGAGGAGCACGUGAAGAUGAAGACUUCAAGGCAUUGGAGGCAUGCCUGCGUCUGUUCAAGCUCAAGGCGUUCAUGUGAAACCUUUCCGGAAAACGCGCCAGCCCAGGUCCCGGUGUCCUCCGCCUGCUGCGUGCGCAUCCGCCUCUGUGCCCCGCCCCCGCCCCAUGCCCGCGCUGAGUCGCUGAAAACAGCCAGAGUGUGUCUCCUCUGCUCCCACCCACCCCCGUUUUUUCUGCUGCUCUUCGCCCACCAGCGUUCCCUUUUUCUCUCCCGAUCCCAGGAGCAGAUCUGACGCCCUCAUUCCCACUGAGGCGCGAGGGUCUAAGAAGAUGUAUACGGCCCACCUAGGAAUGUUUACAUUUCACCUCAAAGCUGAGCUUGAGCGAAAAGAAUUAAAAUAGAGCCGUGGGAACAGAAUCUGCAACGUCUCCAACUCAUCCCCCCAAGCUCUGUUGUCUGUGCCUCAAAAUCAGACUCCGCCUGCACCUCUCCAAUGAUCUUAGGGAUUUCUCCUCCGAAGUCUUUUCCCCGGUCAGUUCCUCCUUCAUGAGCUCCUCUCAGAAGCCCAGUCCUUAUUCUCACCCACCUGCCUUCUUGGCCACAGCCCCACUCCAAGUUCAGUUGCUCACAGGGCCCAGAAAUGUCUCCGAGGCACCUUCUAAGUCUGUCAAGGACAAGUCGGACGCACGCGCUGAGGCCAAACAGAAAGGCGGGGGAGCACGCGGGGCGCUCAGAGCUGGCCCAGGCCUGAAGGCCGUUUGUAGCUAAUGCGGUGAGCGGCUCCAACCAGAUGAGCCCGCAUGGACGCCGGCAAAGGGCACAAGGCAAGCUCUAUCUCCGCUCAAGCCUGCCGCCUGUCCUGGAACAAAGGAGCCAAGGUUCCUUCAACACAAACACCGCUGGCUCUCUGGUGGGAAAGACAGGCUCUCUGUCAUAUCUGCAAAGCCAGGGCCAGCGGGGGCCAGGACCGAGGACCCGGGCUUUUCAAAGGCUCCCCGGGAAAGCCCACGGUUCGAGUUCAAGUGAUGGCAAAUAAAAAAACCAAAGCAGG
Long non-coding RNA from Phyllostomus hastatus (greater spear-nosed bat), 1959 nucleotides. RefSeq lists it as uncharacterized. Lineage: Eukaryota; Metazoa; Chordata; Mammalia; Chiroptera; Phyllostomidae. The record is from RefSeq and is a predicted model, not a curated record. The transcript is spliced from 2 exons.